CAGUCGCCGCGGUAAAACGUAGGUCCCGAGCGUUGUCCGGAUUUAUUGGGCGUAAAGCGAGCGCAGGCGGUUAGAUAAGUCUGAAGUUAAAGGCUGUGGCUUAACCAUAGUAUGCUUUGGAAACUGUUUAACUUGAGUGCAGAAGGGGAGAGUGGAAUUCCAUGUGUAGCGGUGAAAUGCGCAGAUCUAUGGAGGAACACCGGUGGCGAAAGCGGCUCUCUGGUCUGUAACUGACGCUGAGGCUCGAAAGCGUGGGGAGCAAACAGGAUUAGAUACCCCGGUAGUCCCUGUCUCUUAUACA
This 301-nucleotide ribosomal RNA is filed under the name uncultured bacterium. RNAcentral describes it as "partial 16S ribosomal RNA". It matches the Rfam family "Bacterial small subunit ribosomal RNA", at positions 509 to 808 of the family's 1533-position model. The record is from RNAcentral.